Molecule: unclassified non-coding RNA, 236 nt
Filed under: Hevea brasiliensis (rubber tree)
Lineage: Eukaryota; Viridiplantae; Streptophyta; Magnoliopsida; Malpighiales; Euphorbiaceae
Source: RNAcentral
GACGGAAAUCGUCAGGAUGCUACAGGGUCUUGCUACUGCUUCUGAUCAAUUGUUGAGGAAUGCCUCUCCCCAGAUUUCCGCAUGACAAGUAAAAUUGGCGUGAUCGAUUUAUGUUUAGCCUGUUUUUAUUCUCCGUUGUGCUGCUGCUGCUGCUGCUGCGGGUAAAUUUCUUGUUGUCUGCUAUGUGUAAACUUUUAUCUGGUACAUCUUGUUGAUUAGGUAUGCUUGACUUUUGC